This 465-nucleotide ribosomal RNA is filed under the name uncultured bacterium. Its description in RNAcentral is "partial 16S ribosomal RNA". It matches the Rfam family "Bacterial small subunit ribosomal RNA", at positions 28 to 507 of the family's 1533-position model. The record is from RNAcentral.
GACGAACGCUGGCGGCGCGCCUAACACAUGCAAGUCGAACGAGCGAGAGAGAGCUUGCUUUCUCGAGCGAGUGGCGAACGGGUGAGUAACGCGUGAGGAACCUGCCUCAAGAGGGGGACAACAGUUGGAAACGACUGCUAAUACCGCAUAAGCCCACGACCCGGCAUCGGGUAGAGGGAAAAGGAGCAAUCCGCUUUGAGAUGGCCUCGCGUCCGAUUAGCUAGUUGGUGAGGUAACGGCCCACCAAGGCGACGAUCGGUAGCCGGACUGAGAGGUUGAACGGCCACAUUGGGACUAAGACACGGCCCAGACUCCUACGGGAGGCAGCAGUGGGGAAUAUUGCACAAUGGGGGAAACCCUGAUGCAGCGACGCCGCGUGGAGGAAGAAGGUCUUCGGAUUGUAAACUCCUGUUGUUGAGGAAGAUAAUGACGGUACUCAACAAGGAAGUGACGGCUAACUACGUG